RNAcentral lists this ribosomal RNA (471 nucleotides) under uncultured Rhodocyclaceae bacterium. RNAcentral describes it as "bacterial SSU rRNA". It matches the Rfam family "Bacterial small subunit ribosomal RNA", at positions 910 to 1382 of the family's 1533-position model. The record is from RNAcentral. Lineage: Bacteria; Pseudomonadati; Pseudomonadota; Betaproteobacteria; Rhodocyclales; Rhodocyclaceae.
UUGACGGGGACCGCACAAGCGGUGGAUGAUGUGGUUUAAUUCGAUGCAACGCGAAAACCUUACCCACCUUUGACAUGGCAGGAAUCCCGAAGAGAUUUGGGAGUGCUCGAAAGAGAACCUGCACACAGGUGCUGCAUGGCUGUCGUCAGCUCGUGUCGUGAGAUGUUGGGUUAAGUCCCGCAACGAGCGCAACCCUUGUCAUUAGUUGCCAUCAUUUGGUUGGGCACUCUAAUGAGACUGCCGGUGACAAACCGGAGGAAGGUGGGGAUGACGUCAAGUCCUCAUGGCCCUUAUGGGUAGGGCUUCACACGUCAUACAAUGGUCGGUACAGAGGGUUGCCAACCCGCGAGGGGGAGCUAAUCCCACAAAGCCGAUCGUAGUCCGGAUCGCAGUCUGCAACUCGACUGCGUGAAGUCGGAAUCGCUAGUAAUCGUGGAUCAGCAUGUCACGGUGAAUACGUUCCCGGGUCUU